RNAcentral lists this ribosomal RNA (232 nucleotides) under uncultured bacterium. RNAcentral describes it as "partial 16S ribosomal RNA". It matches the Rfam family "Bacterial small subunit ribosomal RNA", at positions 101 to 334 of the family's 1533-position model. The record is from RNAcentral.
AACGGGUCGUAACACGUGAGCAACCUACCGAAAUGAGGGGGAUAGCCGUCCCAACGGACGGGUAAUACCGCAUAAGCUCUUGUCCAGGCAUUUGGAUUAGAGGAAACCUCCGGGGCGUUUCGAGGGGCUCGCGGCCUAUCAGCUAGUUGGUGAGGUAACGGCUCACCAAGGCGACGACGGGUAGCUGGUCUGAGAGGAUGGCCAGCCACAUUGGGACUGAGAUACGGCCCAG